This 675-nucleotide ribosomal RNA is filed under the name Papiliotrema laurentii. RNAcentral describes it as "partial large subunit ribosomal RNA". It matches the Rfam family "Eukaryotic large subunit ribosomal RNA", at positions 41 to 706 of the family's 3401-position model. Lineage: Eukaryota; Fungi; Basidiomycota; Tremellomycetes; Tremellales; Rhynchogastremaceae. The record is from RNAcentral.
UAUCAAUAAGCGGAGGAAAAGAAACUAACAAGGAUUCCCCUAGUAACGGCGAGUGAACCGGGAAGAGCUCAAAUUUGAAAUCUGGCGUCCUCAGGGCGUCCGAGUUGUAAUCUAUAGAGGCGUUUUCCGUGCCGGACCGUGUCCAAGUUCCUUGGAACAGGAUAUCAAAGAGGGUGACAAUCCCGUACUUGACACGACGACCGGUGCUCUGUGAUACGUCUUCUACGAGUCGAGUUGUUUGGGAAUGCAGCUCAAAAUGGGUGGUGAGUUCCAUCUAAAGCUAAAUAUUGGCGAGAGACCGAUAGCGAACAAGUACCGUGAGGGAAAGAUGAAAAGCACUUUGGAAAGAGAGUUAAACAGUACGUGAAAUUGUUGAAAGGGAAACGAUUGAAGUCAGUCGUGACCGAGAGGCUCAGCCGGUUCUGCCGGUGUAUUCCCCUCGGUCGGGUCAACAUCAGUUUUGUCCGGUGGAUAAGGGCGGUAGGAAGGUGGCACCCUCGGGUGUGUUAUAGCCUGCCGUCGCAUACAUCGGGUGAGACUGAGGAACGCAGCUCGCCUUUAUGGCCGGGGUUCGCCCACGUCCGAGCUUAGGAUGUUGACAUAAUGGCUUUAAACGACCCGUCUUGAAACACGGACCAAGGAGUCUAACAUAUCUGCGAGUGUUUGGGUGUCAAA